This 478-nucleotide ribosomal RNA is filed under the name uncultured bacterium. RNAcentral's name for it is "partial 16S ribosomal RNA". It matches the Rfam family "Bacterial small subunit ribosomal RNA", at positions 28 to 507 of the family's 1533-position model. The record is from RNAcentral.
GAUGAACGCUGGCGGCGUGCUUAACACAUGCAAGUCGAACGGGAAUUAUUUUAUUGAAACUUCGGUCGAUUUAAUUUAAUUCUAGUGGCGGACGGGUGAGUAACGCGUGGGUAACCUGCCUUAUACAGGGGGAUAACAGUCAGAAAUGGCUGCUAAUACCGCAUAAGCGCACAGAGCUGCAUGGCUCAGUGUGAAAAACUCCGGUGGUAUAAGAUGGACCCGCGUUGGAUUAGCUGGUUGGUGGGGUAACGGCCCACCAAGGCGACGAUCCAUAGCCGGCCUGAGAGGGUGAACGGCCACAUUGGGACUGAGACGCGGCCCAGACUCCUACGGGAGGCAGCAGUGGGGAAUAUUGCACAAUGGGGGAAACCCUGAUGCAGCGACGCCGCGUGAAGGAAGAAGUAUCUCGGGAUGUAAACUUCUAUCAGCAGGGAAGAUAGUGACGGUACCUGACUAAGAAGCCCCGGCUAACUACGUG